UUAGGGAUAGGUAUGGUAAAUAUGAACCAAGUGAUUAAACCCUCCUUGGUUCUACACUACUUUUUAGCUCUAUUUUUCCUACCUUUUUAUUUUACUCCCGUGUUUAACUUUUUUGAACUUUGGGUGUGGUUUUAUUUUCACAAAUUCUUCUUUUUCUUUUUUUCCUUUUUUGAAAAACUUUUUUUUCACUUUUUUCUUUACACAAUUCCGUGCCCAGAACUUUUUUUAUUUUCUUUAACUAUCUU
This 245-nucleotide long non-coding RNA is filed under the name Capsicum annuum. RNAcentral describes it as "long non-coding RNA (CANN_LNC017273)". Lineage: Eukaryota; Viridiplantae; Streptophyta; Magnoliopsida; Solanales; Solanaceae. The record is from RNAcentral.